This 242-nucleotide ribosomal RNA is filed under the name uncultured bacterium. RNAcentral's name for it is "partial 16S ribosomal RNA". It matches the Rfam family "Bacterial small subunit ribosomal RNA", at positions 535 to 776 of the family's 1533-position model. The record is from RNAcentral.
CAAGCGUUGUUCGGAAUUACUGGGCGUAAAGGGCUCGUAGGCGGCCAACUAAGUCGGACGUGAAAUCCCCAGGCUCAACCUGGGAACUGCGUCUGAUACUGGAUGGCUUGAAUCCGGGAGAGGGAUGCAGAAUUCCAGGUGUAGCGGUGAAAUGCGUAGAUAUCUGGAGGAAUACCGGUGGCGAAGGCGGCAUCCUGGACCGGCAUUGACGCUGAGGAGCGAAAGCCAGGGGAGCAAACGGG